This is a long non-coding RNA of Hemicordylus capensis (graceful crag lizard), 787 nucleotides long. RefSeq lists it as uncharacterized. The record is from RefSeq and is a predicted model, not a curated record. The transcript is spliced from 2 exons. Lineage: Eukaryota; Metazoa; Chordata; Lepidosauria; Squamata; Cordylidae.
GCGCCCCCUGGUGGGCCCCAGAGGCAGCGCACAGCACUGCGGCACGGCUGCGUGGUAGGGCGACGCCGCGGGCGGGGUAGCAAAGCCGCUCCGGUGUCCCUUUCCACUCCUGAGGUGGGCCGCCGGCUGGCGGACUCUGAAGCAGGCCGCUGCACCGACGGCUGGGAGGUGGAGACGCGCGUUUGAAUACUUCGGGGAAAGACAAAUCUCUAUACGGGGACAAACAAGGAGCUUGCGAUGUAGGGAUAGACUCAGGAGGCGUCUCCCACUAACUGGGGCAAUACUAGCCCCUACUGCGCCGAGCGGGGGGUUCACAGCCGGCAAUAUUAUUGGGCGCACAAGCACAACUGGCCACGCUCCACACUCCCAAGCAGAGGUGCACCUAGAGAUGUUGCAGACUAAAUUUGUAAGAACUAUUUUUCAACCUCUGAACAAGGUAUCGAAGAAGGAUUUCAACUUUUCUCCUCUACUGGCCCAUCACCCGCAAAUCAACCCACAAUAAAUGAGCCUCUUGCUGCCACCAAAAUGACAGAAUCAAAUAAAGCACCUGCAAUCUCACCUGACUCGGUACCUAUUUUGAAAGCUGGUGGUCACAGUAUGGAUAUAACACCCUUAAAGGGUACUGGCAAACCCCUUAAAGAUUGACUGAGUAAUAGACUCUGUAAUAUUGUAAUUGUUGAAAUGUUUUAAUCUUUUAUUGGCUGUUUUUAUUGUCCUGUAAACUGCCCAGAGAACUUGUGUUUUGGGUGGUAUAUAAAUGUAUAAAAUAAAAUAAAAAUCCAAUUGA